GCCCUAGUAGCUUAACCUAACAAAGCAUCGGUCUUGUAAUCCGAAGAUCGGAAGUUAAACCCCUCCCUAGCGCC
This 74-nucleotide transfer RNA is filed under the name Clypeobarbus pleuropholis. Its description in RNAcentral is "tRNA-Thr". It matches the Rfam family "tRNA". Rfam says of the family: Transfer RNA (tRNA) molecules are approximately 80 nucleotides in length. Their secondary structure includes four short double-helical elements and three loops (D, anti-codon, and T loops). Further hydrogen bonds mediate the characteristic L-shaped molecular structure. tRNAs have two regions of fundamental functional importance: the anti-codon, which is responsible for specific mRNA codon recognition, and the 3' end, to which the tRNAs corresponding amino acid is attached (by aminoacyl-tRNA synthetases). tRNAs cope with the degeneracy of the genetic code in two manners: having more than one tRNA (with a specific anti-codon) for a particular amino acid; and 'wobble' base-pairing, i.e. permitting non-standard base-pairing at the 3rd anti-codon position. Lineage: Eukaryota; Metazoa; Chordata; Actinopteri; Cypriniformes; Cyprinidae. The record is from RNAcentral.